This 573-nucleotide ribosomal RNA is filed under the name Chrysochromulina cymbium. RNAcentral describes it as "eukaryotic LSU rRNA". It matches the Rfam family "Eukaryotic large subunit ribosomal RNA", at positions 34 to 662 of the family's 3401-position model. Lineage: Eukaryota; Haptophyta; Prymnesiales; Chrysochromulinaceae. The record is from RNAcentral.
UUAAGCAUAUCACUAAGCGGAGGAGAAGAAAACAACCGUGAUGCCCCUAGUAAUGGCGAAUGAAGAGGGCAGAGCUCACGCCGCCAAUCUGGAGGCCCUUGCGGCCCCCCGAAUUGUAGUCUAGAAAGGCGCCAUCGGCCGCGGCCUUCGCUAAAAUCCCUUGGAACGGGGUAUCGGAGAAGGUGAGAAUCCUGUGACGUGUGGGUUCGCGGCCGCACGAUGCGCCCUUGCAGAGUCGGGUUGCUUGGGAUUGCAGCUUGAAGUGGGUGGUAAAUUCCAUCUAAAGCUAAAUAUUGGCUCAUGACCGAUAGCGAACAAGUACCGUGAGGGAAAGAUGCAAAGAACUUUGAAAAGAGAGUUAAAGAGUGCUUGAAAUCGGCAAGAGGAAACCCGGUUGCGCCCAGCGUCGCACACUUUGCCCAGCCGCCCUUGUGGGCGGUGCAUCCGAGUGUGCGGGUCAGCCGCGUCUCCGUGGGUGGCACACUGUCUCGGUAGGACUUCGGUGAGCCGAGUCGUCGCCACGCACGGGGCCCCGGCUGACGCAAUGGGCGCCACCGACCCGUCUUGAAACAG